Molecule: long non-coding RNA, 315 nt
Filed under: Mustela putorius furo (domestic ferret)
Lineage: Eukaryota; Metazoa; Chordata; Mammalia; Carnivora; Mustelidae
Description: lncRNA (ENSMPUG00000028121.1)
Source: RNAcentral
GCCACGUGGGGCCCCUCUGGGCAGCGAUCCGGCAGGCAGAGAAUGGCUCCCGCCCGGGGCUGGCGGCAGACGCUGGUGCCCACAAGGAGCCAGGGUCCAAUCGCAACGGAAUGCAGGGCUCCCUGAGGAGGCUCGUACGUGUCUGCGAUCAGCCCUCGGCGGUGGCCUCCACAGCCCCGCGAGUGCAGGCGGCUUGCCCCACCGAGCCGGUCUGCGCCUGGCCAAGGAGGAGGGCCAUCCAGAGCGGGCGGGGUGCAGGCAGGACAAGACCCUCCCGUCGCCUCCGGAGCAGCCAGGGCAGGAGCGGGGGCAGGG